RNAcentral lists this ribosomal RNA (730 nucleotides) under uncultured eukaryote. RNAcentral's name for it is "SSU rRNA". It matches the Rfam family "Eukaryotic small subunit ribosomal RNA", at positions 670 to 1426 of the family's 1831-position model. The record is from RNAcentral.
CGGGUGCACUGAUCCAGCCGGGCCUUUCCCUCUGUGGAACCCCAUGGCCUUCACUGGCUGUGGUGGGGAAACAGGACUUUUACUUUGAAAAAAUUAGAGUGCUCCAGGCAGGCCUAUGCUCGAAUACAUUAGCAUGGAAUAAUAGAAUAGGACGUGUGGUUCUAUUUUGUUGGUUUCUAGGACCGCCGUAAUGAUUAAUAGGGACAGUCGGGGGCAUCAGUAUUCAAUUGUCAGAGGUGAAAUUCUUGGAUCUAUUGAAGGCUAACUACUGCGAAAGCAUUUGCCAAGGAUGUUUUCAUUGAUAAGGAACGAAAGUUAGGGGAUCGAAGACGAUCAGAUACCGUCGUAGUCUUAACUAUAAACUAUGCCGACUAGGGAUCGGACGAUGUUAUUCUUUGACGCGUUCGGCACCUUUCGAGAAAUCAAAGUGCUUGGGCUCCAGGGGGAGUAUGGUCGCAAGGCUGAAACUUAAAGAAAUUGACGGAAGGGCACCACCAGGGGUGGAACCUGCGGCUUAAUUUGACUCAACACGGGGAAACUCACCAGGUCCAGACACAGUGAGGAUUGACAGAUUGAGAGCUCUUUCUUGAUUCUGUGGGUGGUGGUGCAUGGGCCGUUCUUAGUUGGUGGAGUGAUUUGUCUGCUUAAUUGCGAUAACGAACGAGACCUUAACCUGCUAAAUAGCCCGUACUGCUUUGGCAGUUCGCCGGCUUCUUAGAGGGACUAUCGG